GUAGGGUGCGAGCGUUAAUCGGAAUUACUGGGCGUAAAGCGUGCGCAGGCGGUUCGUUAAGUCAGAUGUGAAAGCCCCGGGCUCAACCUGGGAACUGCAUUUGAAACUGGCGGGCUUGAGUAUGGCAGAGGGGGGUGGAAUUCCGCGUGUAGCAGUGAAAUGCGUAGAGAUGCGGAGGAACACCGAUGGCGAAGGCAGCCCCCUGGGCCAAUACUGACGCUCAGGCACGAAAGCGUGGGGAGCAAACAGGAUUAGAUACCCUGGUAGUCCACGCCCUAAACGAUGCUCACUAGGUGUUGGGGAAGCGAUUCCUUGGUACCGUAGCUAACGCGUGAAGUGAGCCGCCUGGGGAGUACGGCCKU
Molecule: ribosomal RNA, 362 nt
Filed under: uncultured bacterium
Lineage: Bacteria
Description: bacterial SSU rRNA
Rfam family: Bacterial small subunit ribosomal RNA
Source: RNAcentral